Cephalotus follicularis is the source of this 133-nucleotide microRNA precursor. It matches the Rfam family "MIR397 microRNA precursor family". Lineage: Eukaryota; Viridiplantae; Streptophyta; Magnoliopsida; Oxalidales; Cephalotaceae. The record is from Rfam.
UGAGAAAACAUCAUUGAGUGCAGCGUUGAUGAAUUCCUACAGAUUUCUGUUGGUUUGUUUCCAAUUUUUGUGGAAAUAUGUAUGCCAUGGGUGUGGAAUGAUUUCACCAGCGCUGCACUCAAUCAUGUUUUUC